Molecule: ribosomal RNA, 468 nt
Filed under: uncultured bacterium
Lineage: Bacteria
Description: partial 16S ribosomal RNA
Rfam family: Bacterial small subunit ribosomal RNA
Source: RNAcentral
GACGAACGCUGGCGGCGUGCUUAACACAUGCAAGUCGAACGGAAAGGCCCUGCGUUUGUGGGGUGCUCGAGUGGCGAACGGGUGAGUAACACGUGUGUAACCUGCCCUUGACUUUGGGAUAACUUCAGGAAACUGGGGCUCAUACCCGAUAGGAGCUCCUGAUGCAUGGUGGGGGUUAGAAAGUUUCGGCUGUUGGGGAUGGACUCGCGGCUUCUGAGCUUGUUGGUGGGGUAGUGGCUUACAAAGGCUUUGACGGGUAGCCGGCCUGAGAGGGUGACCAGCCACAUUGGGACUGAGAUACGGCCCAGACUCCUACGGGAGGCAGCAGUGGGGAAUAUUGCACAAUGGGCGGAAGCCUGAUGCAGCAACGCCGCGUGCGGGAUGACGGCCUUCGGGUUGUAAACCGCUUUCGCCUGUGACGAAGAGUGAGUGACGGUAAUGGGUAAAGAAGCACCGGCUAACUACGUG